This 253-nucleotide ribosomal RNA is filed under the name uncultured bacterium. RNAcentral's name for it is "partial 16S ribosomal RNA". It matches the Rfam family "Bacterial small subunit ribosomal RNA", at positions 524 to 776 of the family's 1533-position model. The record is from RNAcentral.
UACAGAGGUCUCAAGCGUUGUUCGGAUUCAUUGGGCGUAAAGGGUGCGUAGGCGGCGCGGUAAGUCGGGUGUGAAAUUUCGAGGCUUAACUUCGAAACUGCAUUCGAUACCGCCGUGCUAGAGGACUGGAGAGGAGACUGGAAUUUACGGUGUAGCGGUGAAAUGCGUAGAUAUCGUAAGGAAGACCAGUGGCGAAGGCGGGUCUCUGGACAGUUCCUGACGCUGAGGCACGAAGGCCAGGGGAGCAAACGGG